Molecule: ribosomal RNA, 503 nt
Filed under: uncultured bacterium
Lineage: Bacteria
Description: SSU rRNA
Rfam family: Bacterial small subunit ribosomal RNA
Source: RNAcentral
AGAUUGAACGCUGGCGGCGUGCCUAACACAUGCAAGUCGAGCGGUAACAGGUGUAGCAAUACAUGCUGACGAGCGGCGAACGGGUGAGUAAUGCUUUGGAAUCUUCCCAGUAGUGGGGAAUAACCAGUCGAAAGAUUGGCUAAUACCGCAUACGUCUGUAAAGGGAAAGCGGGGGCUCGUAAGACCUCGCGCUAUUGGAUGAGCCAAAGUCGGAUUAGCUAGUUGGUGGGGUAAUGGCCUACCAAGGCGACAAUCCGUAGCUGGUCUGAGAGGACGACCAGCCACACCGGAACUGAGACACGGUCCGGACUCCUACGGGAGGCAGCAGUGGGGAAUAUUGGACAAUGGGGGAAACCCUGAUCCAGCGACGCCGCGUGUGUGAAGAAGGCCUGCGGGUUGUAAAGCACUUUUAGUGGGGACAAAAAGCUACGGACUAAUAUUCUGUGGUCUUGAUUUAACCCAAAGAAAAGCACCGGCUAACUCUGCGCCAGCAGCCGCGGUAA